Molecule: long non-coding RNA, 317 nt
Organism: Siniperca chuatsi (mandarin fish)
Lineage: Eukaryota; Metazoa; Chordata; Actinopteri; Centrarchiformes; Sinipercidae
Exons: 3
Source: RefSeq, a predicted model, not a curated record
GAAAAGCCUGGGAGCGACGUGAAAGCUGAGCCGCCCUCAGCCUGCAUCGCAUGUACGAAACCCGGAGUGUCUCUCUGCGGUCAGAUCACAGCCGUUUCCAAAAGCUGUGUUGCAGGUCUCCAUUAUGUACAUGCUCUGUGAUGGUUCUGGGCUGCUGUGGACGGAGCCGGGGUGCUGAUGUCGCUGCAGCGUCCCCCCCUCCAGGGUCUGCGCAGGAUUCAGACAACUUCUCCAGCAUGAAAACACUUCCUUUGUUCAACAGCAGCACUUCAGGAGUGAGCAGUUGUUACUGACGCUGCCUCUGCAGACCCUCACAG